Molecule: microRNA precursor, 225 nt
Filed under: Asparagus officinalis (garden asparagus)
Lineage: Eukaryota; Viridiplantae; Streptophyta; Magnoliopsida; Asparagales; Asparagaceae
Description: miR12170 stem-loop (aof-MIR12170)
Source: miRBase by way of RNAcentral
CCCAAACUGAUAAGAACUCAUGAAUAAAUGCAAAAAAACACUGUCACAUCAUUAAUCUGUCAAAUAUUUGACUGUUGGCUCACAACAUGACCGCAUUGAACCCACAAACAUACUUUAAGGGUCAAAAUAGGUAAACUGAUACUUUAGUGGGAAGUUGAGAGUUCACCCAUAGAUACUUGAAGGAUGAGUUAGUUAUUUUGUUCUAUUUUGUUCUUAGAGAUUAAU